CUGAGGAAGAGACGUGGUGCGAACGAGCGCUGUACGCGUACUGAGAUGCUCAGGGACAGAAGAGUGGGGGUUAAAGUGGAAAGGAAGGAGCUGUGAGAAGCCACUCUUGUGAGAAGAGCGUCCAAAACACACCCCUUCAAAGGGAACUUGGCAACGCCCCUCAACACGGAUUAACCUUCGGGUCGCAGAUGAGUGCCGCCUAGCGAGAAGACAGACGCAUAGACCCAGUGGAACAGAACUGAGAGGCCAGAAACAGGUCACUGGGCUGCGGCCAACUGAUUUUCAAGAAAGCUGCCACGAGCACACGGGGGAAAGAGUAAUGUCUUCAGUAAGCGAGGCCUGGAGAACGGAAUACCCACAUAGACAGAAUGAAGCCAGAAGGCCGAUGUGGAGGCACAGGCCUGGAACCCCAGCACCCGAGAGGCUG
Molecule: long non-coding RNA, 427 nt
Organism: Octodon degus (degu)
Lineage: Eukaryota; Metazoa; Chordata; Mammalia; Rodentia; Octodontidae
Exons: 3
Source: RefSeq, a predicted model, not a curated record